AUUGAACGCUGGCGGCAUGCUUUACACAUGCAAGUCGAACGGCAGCACGGGCUUCGGCCUGGUGGCGAGUGGCGAACGGGUGAGUAAUGCAUCGGAACGUACCGUGUAAUGGGGGAUAACGUAGCGAAAGUUACGCUAAUACCGCAUACGCCCUGAGGGGGAAAGCGGGGGAUCGUAAGACCUCGCGUUAUACGAGCGGCCGAUGUCGGAUUAGCUAGUUGGUGGGGUAAAGGCCUACCAAGGCGACGAUCCGUAGCGGGUCUGAGAGGAUGAUCCGCCACACUGGGACUGAGACACGGCCCAGACUCCUACGGGAGGCAGCAGUGGGGAAUUUUGGGACAAUGGGCGCAAGCCUGAUCCAGCCAUGCCGCGUGAGUGAAGAAGGCCUCGG
Molecule: ribosomal RNA, 391 nt
Filed under: uncultured bacterium
Lineage: Bacteria
Description: bacterial SSU rRNA
Rfam family: Bacterial small subunit ribosomal RNA
Source: RNAcentral